Molecule: unclassified non-coding RNA, 353 nt
Filed under: soil metagenome
Description: partial contains 5.8S ribosomal RNA, internal transcribed spacer 2, and large subunit ribosomal RNA
Rfam family: 5.8S ribosomal RNA (bases 1-120)
Source: RNAcentral
GAUGAAGAACGCAGCGAAAUGCGAUAAGUAAUGUGAAUUGCAGAAUUCAGUGAAUCAUCGAAUCUUUAAACGCACAUUGCGCCCGCCAGUAUUCUGGCGGGCAUGCCUGUUCGAGCGUCAUUACAACCCUCAGGCCCCCGGGCCUGGCGUUGGGGAUCGGCGAGGCGCCCCCCGCGGGCACGCGCCGUCCCCCAAAUACAGUGGCGGUCCCGCCGCAGCUUCCAUUGCGUAGUAGCUAACACCUCGCAACUGGAGAGCGGCGCGGCCAUGCCGUAAAACACCCAACUUCUGAAUGUUGACCUCGAAUCAGGUAGGAAUACCCGCUGAACUUAAGCAUAUCAAUAAGCGGAGGA